RNAcentral lists this unclassified non-coding RNA (94 nucleotides) under Mus musculus (house mouse). RNAcentral describes it as "partial C/D box snoRNA; small non-messenger RNA (snmRNA)". The record is from RNAcentral. Lineage: Eukaryota; Metazoa; Chordata; Mammalia; Rodentia; Muridae.
GUGCGCGCCGACUAGGAGGCAGCUGCUAGCCUGACCUGCCGAGGUGCUGAGGUGGCCGCGAGACAGGGCUGAUGAAGCCUCAGGACAGUCAGAG